UGGGGAAUAUUGCACAAUGGGCGCAAGCCUGAUGCAGCCAUGCCGCGUGUAUGAAGAAGGCCUUCGGGUUGUAAAGUACUUUCAGCGGGGAGGAAGGGAGUAAAGUUAAUACCUUCGCUCAUUGACGUUACCCGCAGAAGAAGCACCGGCUAACUCCGUGCCAGCAGCCGCGGUAAUACGGAGGGUGCAAGCGUUAAUCGGAAUUACUGGGCGUAAAGCGCACGCAGGCGGUUGAUUGAGUCAGAUGUGAAAUCCCCGGGCUUAACCCGGGAAUUGCAUCUGAUACUGGUCAGCUAGAGUCUUGUAGAGGGGGGUAGAAUUCCAUGUGUAGCGGUGAAAUGCGUAGAGAUGUGGAGGAAUACCGGUGGCGAAGGCGGCCCCCUGGACAAAGACUGACGCUCAGGUGCGAAAGCGUGGGGAGCAAACAGG
Molecule: ribosomal RNA, 429 nt
Filed under: Chloroflexota bacterium
Lineage: Bacteria; Bacillati; Chloroflexota
Description: Chloroflexi bacterium partial 16S ribosomal RNA
Rfam family: Bacterial small subunit ribosomal RNA
Source: RNAcentral